GGACCCGCACAAGCAGCGGAGCAUGUGGUUUAAUUCGAAGCAACGCGAAGAACCUUACCAGGGCUUGACAUGCCCCUGACCGAUACAGAGAUGUAUCUUUGCCCUUCGGGGUACAGGGGACACAGGUGGUGCAUGGUUGUCGUCAGCUCGUGUCGUGAGAUGUUGGGUUAAGUCCCGCAACGAGCGCAACCCCUGCUUCUAGUUGCCAUCAUUAAGUUGGGCACUCUAGAGGGACUGCCGAUGAUAAAUCGGAGGAAGGUGGGGAUGACGUCAAAUCAUCAUGCCCUUUAUGUCCUGGGCUACACACGUGCUACAAUGGUCGGUACAACGAGGAGCGACACAGCGAUGUGAAGCAAAUCUCUAAAAGCCGAUCCCAGUUCGGAUUGCAGGCUGCAACUCGCCUGCAUGAAGUCGGAGUUGCUAGUAAUCGCGAAUCAGAAUGUCGCGGUGAAUGCGUUCCCGGGUCUU
RNAcentral lists this ribosomal RNA (468 nucleotides) under uncultured bacterium. Its description in RNAcentral is "bacterial SSU rRNA". It matches the Rfam family "Bacterial small subunit ribosomal RNA", at positions 917 to 1382 of the family's 1533-position model. The record is from RNAcentral.